Molecule: ribosomal RNA, 492 nt
Filed under: uncultured bacterium
Lineage: Bacteria
Description: partial 16S ribosomal RNA
Rfam family: Bacterial small subunit ribosomal RNA
Source: RNAcentral
AGUGAACGCUGGCGGUAGGCCUAACACAUGCAAGUCGAACGGCAGCACAGUAAGAGCUUGCUCUUACGGGUGGCGAGUGGCGGACGGGUGAGGAAUACAUCGGAAUCUACUUUUUCGUGGGGGAUAACGUAGGGAAACUUACGCUAAUACCGCAUACGACCUACGGGUGAAAGCAGGGGAUCUUCGGACCUUGCGCGAUUGAAUGAGCCGAUGUCGGAUUAGCUAGUUGGCGGGGUAAAGACCCACGAAGGCGACGAUCCGUAGCUGGUCUGAGAGGAUGAUCGGCCACACUGGAGCUGGGCCACGGUCCAGACUCCUGCGGGAGGCAGCAGUGGGGAAUAUUGGACAAUGGGCGCAAGCCUGAUCCAGCCAUACCGCGUGGGUGAAGAAGGCCUUCCGGUUGUAAAGCCCUUUUGUUGGGAGAGAAAAGCAGCAGGUUAAUACCCCGCUGUUCUGACGGUACCCAAAGAAUAAGCACCGGCUAACUUCGUG